CCCGCGUGGCCAGUUGGCAAGUGCUGCCACCUGCUGGCCUCAGGCAGGAGUGUGGCGGCUAAGGGGGCUCAGGGGGGCCGGCGGGACGGGGCGGGGCGGGGCGGGGCAGAGGGCGCGGGAGCCGGAUGGCAGGUGCCUCUCAGGUCCGCAGGGAUCCCUCUCAGGUCUUCAGGGGCCUCUCUCAGGUCGGGGGAUGAAGGGCGAUUCCUUUUCAUUUCUGUUUCUUUUUUUAAAACUUGGAGCAUGAAAGAUAUCUUGGGAACUGCUGUAACCUAAGAAAGAGGGACGCCUGCGCUGUAGCCUGGAGGAGCCCAGGGGACACCCUCAGGAGACCCAGAAUAGCUUUUUGCAGACGGGGCGGGCGAGGAAGGCCCCGGGCGGGGUGCUGGACAUUGCUGGUUCAGAAGGUUCAAGUGAAGUCUCCCACAGAGCAAGCUCUGAAAGCCCUGCUGUGGAAAGGACAAAGGUUUUGCCUGGAAUUGGCACUGUCUUUUGAGGGCAAUUUUAAAGAUGCUGCCUGUUUGAAAUGGAUGUGGAACCAGCUGUCAAGGUCAGGGCUGUGAGCUAGAAGCCUUCUCCACGUUGGUAAGGAGCCCGAAUACCACCUGGCACCCCACGUAGGCGGCUGACUGAGCCCAUUCCCUCGGUGCAGACAUUUACUUACUUACCAUAAGAAAGUCAGCACACUUUAUGGCUGGGAUCUAACAAGGCCUAAGGAGACAUCUGCUCUGCGUGCAUCGGUGUCGGUCUUCUGACUGAACCAGCAGAGCGCAUCUUCCGGGCCCGGGAUGGUGUCCAUGAGGGAUUUUCAGUAAAUUUUAACUCUUCAGUAUUACCACUGGGUGACCAGAGCAGAAGACAAGCCAAUAUCACAUCCUCUACUGCCAAGGACAUUUUCAACGGAAACUUUGGGAUUUCUCUUGAAAGAUCCUGAGAUCCUUUGCCAACAUGAGGUAUCACAGCCUUCUCUGCCCCUUCCCUACUGUUCAGCAAGAGCAAUCAUUCUGCAAAUUUAUGCCCUGAAAGCAGAAUGCUAGUCCAGUAGCCCCCUAAAGUAGAUAUUUUUAAGUUACUCAUUACAUAGGUAAUGCGGGUUCUGAAUAUUUGACAUUAAAGAAUGUACAGAAGGUAUUUGGGGCUGGAACGAAUGACUUAAUGUGAGAACCCACACCGCCCGCACCCGCUACAUCUGUCACCAGCUCUACCUCUAAACACCUGGUGCAGCUGCCCCCAUCUGGCCGUCUCCGCCCCACCUUUGCCCGUUCUUCCACCUCGAAACAAGUCUAGAAGUUGAUACUACUUUUUUAGGCUAACAAAACCAAGAAAAACAAGGUUUCUAAAACUGGCAAUGAGUUUAAACAGGAAACUGGUGGCCUUCUGUUUAAAAUGAGAAGGAGUUCGGCAAGGU
Callithrix jacchus (white-tufted-ear marmoset) is the source of this 1408-nucleotide non-coding RNA. The record is from RefSeq and is a predicted model, not a curated record. NCBI's taxonomy places the organism in Eukaryota, Metazoa, Chordata, Mammalia, Primates, Cebidae.